Molecule: long non-coding RNA, 4586 nt
Organism: Meriones unguiculatus (Mongolian gerbil)
Lineage: Eukaryota; Metazoa; Chordata; Mammalia; Rodentia; Muridae
Exons: 4
Source: RefSeq, a predicted model, not a curated record
UGGGGAUUUUCCUUCUGGCACACAGGUCAGCAAACACACUGGGUAUUUGCAGCAAAGAAAUAAGGAGCUUGGUGCUACUGGGGUAAUGCUGGUGGCUCAGAGAAGGAAAAAGGAAAGGAGCUUUGGGAAAAGGAUCAGAAGCUACAGAAUAAGCAGCAAACGAAAGAGAAAAAGAGCCGUGUGAGAUGCUACGGUUUUGCGGUACAACUGCUCCAGCAAUGACAAGUCAUAAGCUCACAUCUGCCUCCCAUUCCAGGAGUAAACCCGUGCACAGAAAAGUCCUCCAACUGUUUCUAUGUGUCCCCUCCUCAGUUGAGAACUAAUUUUCCCCAGUGUGUCGAGAAGCAUACUGCCUCCACCAAAGCACCUACACGAAGUCACAUGUGAAUCUUUAUCGUACAAGAACCAUAUGCACUCUGAGGAGGGGAGAUGGUGACGAACCAGAAUAUAACAAGAACACAGGCACUUGACCCCAUGAGAGCAGAGAGUGUCUGUGGUUCUGAGGAACUAUUUCUCUGUGUUAUGAGGAGAACUUUGGCUCAUCCCUCACUUGAUGCUUCUUUGUGUUGAAGGAAAAAAACAAAAAACCUGUUAAUGAAGACCAGUGAAGCAGCUACGUGGUGUGGAGGAACGCUAGGCAGUGUAAAGACACAGGCACCAGAACUGCCAACGCCUGUGGGCAGACAGUGGCCUCGGAAAGGUUCAUGGCCUUUCUGGUGUGGAACUCAGAAUCAGAAAGCUCUGGGUCUGAUUCUGGCCUUUCUAGUUACCACCCUAUGAUGUUGGGCCAUGGUACAUUUUGAGUGACAGCUCCCUUGUGGCCAAAUGACAGUACCUAAGGAUUUGAUGUCCUAUCGAAGGUGGCGAACGCAUUACACUGGUAGUGUUACAACUGCUGCCCCAGCAUUCUUUGAGACCAGCGCUUUCUGUUUCUGAAAGAGGGGCAAUUGUACUUGCUUCUUCUGCUUCACUUUCCAAACAGUACCAUUGCUAGCAAACGAUGUGUAUGGAACAGCACUUUAUAAAAUGUGACGUACAUGUAAGAACACAAGGUCACUGCAACGACAACUUGGGAAUGAGCUGUAUAGUCCUGCCUGUCAUUAGAAGUAAUAGGGAUAUAUUAAUCUUCUUGAAAAAAAAUUGAAUAACAAUCAAUUCCUAAUGGUCUUCAUAUCCAGCCGAAGAAAACAAACUGUUCUAUACAUUCCUGGAACCCGAGUUCUUUUUUCCAUAAUAUAAUUGGAACCCCUAAGGAUUCAUUUAGUUCAUGGUCUAAAGAAAAAACAACAAAGCCGAACCAAAGGGAAGGCUGGUUUCACGGACUGUCCACAAGACUGGGGAAUUGGCCCUACAGCACAAUGUAAUAAAGAGGCUUACAAAUUGAGUCCUCCGGGAAGGAUACAACUAUAUUUGUUGCAUGUGGGUACCAGAGCAGAGAAGUUUGCCUCUUCUGUUCUUUGAGUGCCACAUGCAUAAAUUUGUAGACUGUCAUUCCCUUUAACUCAAAACACUGGUGAACAAACAGUUGGAGCAAAGCCACUUGAGAACAUGACAAGCCACAGCACUCAGAACACUGCCAAUCUCCCAUUGCUCAAACAAGUCCUUUAACUACGGACCUAACUGUUGCUAAGGAGGCUUCAAAUCAUUCUCUCAAGCACUUCCUCUCCACCUCAAGAAGAGCUAAGUAUAAUUCCCCGACAGAUUCCACUCAGGUCAAUGAAGAGUUGGCUUUCAUACUGUGCAGUUAGCUGCUGUGCACAGGUUGCUAAGUUGUUGCUGAGCAUAGUACACCUCUAUUAGUGUGAAGCAUAGGCCUCAUGGCCAACAUCUGGAAUGACCUUAGAGAGCCUUUACGAUUGAAUGGAGAUGCUUAGUAUAUGAGCCAGCUGCAGGCCUGGGUGGAGGGUCAGGUAGCCUAAGACUGGGCUGUACCCUUCCCAGCGACAGGGUUACAGACACAAUUCCGCUCCUCUGAACCUUUGGUAUUUUCCUCUGAAAACAGAGAGAGUUCAAGGCAGAUAACAUCAAAGUUAUUUUCUGUCUUCUCACAUUCCACAUUUAGAAGCAAGUAAAAUCAAACCUGUUAGUGUUUAAUGAGGGCACAGAAAACAGGUUAACACAGCGGGUCCCACAGAUGUAGAUCCUACAAGCAAAAGCUCAGCUUUUGCUGCGGCUGAAAGGAAUUAGAAGAAUAUUUUGGCUUCCAAAGUGGGCAAAGAUUUGGUUUGGAUUUCUCUCCAAAAAGACAGCAUGUCUCAGCAGUGGAAACGAUGCCAGUAGCCACAGGCUGGGUCAUUGCCUUCAGUGAGGUCCAGCAGGCACAACACAAAUUUCUUAAUUGCCAGCACUGUAACCUUUACUACACCUUGUUUUUCUUGGGGGCUCUCCUGGUCAGGUAACCUGGGUUACAUCCAACAUAAUUUAUAAAAUUUGAGGCCUUUCCCAAUAUAGGUAAGAUUACAUGCUAUUUUAGGAAACCUCCUGGGGGAUGAGGAAAUGUGUUGUUUUCCUUUUAAAUAUUAUACUGCGUAUCAAUUCCAAACGCUAACCAAGCUUUUAAAGAAAAACAUGAGUUCCCUAAAAAUAGCUCGUUUACAAUGCCUCACAGAUUCGGGUGUUUUCUGCACAGGGCAUAACUUGCUUAGCAUGCAAUUAGAAACAAAAUAACAUUUGUGGAUCAUAUCUACAAGGUUAAGAAAAACUAUAUGUAAAUGCCCUCCAAGGACUAAAGAAAUGGUAAUUAAUGUAAGCUGGUUUAUUAUUUUAAAGUUGUACUCUUGAAAAUGGAUCAAAUGAGUUUUAAUGUCAGAUUAAAAGAAAACUUUUGGUAAAUCAAGCAUAAAAAUCUAAAGACACAACUGUGGUCUUAAGUUUUCUCUGAGUAUUUUCCCCUCCUCUUUCUCUUCCUUGUCCGCUUCUUCUCCCUCUUUUUCUUCUUGUUUUUUGUUUUGUUUAUGUUUUUAUUGAGAUAGGUUUCUCUGUGUAGCCUUGGGUGUCUUAGAACUUCCUCUUAAACUCAGAGACCAGCCUGCCUCUGCCUCCUGGGAUUAAAGACAUGCGCCAUCACCGCUGGGCAGUGGUUUUGGCUUCUUGCAUUUAUUCCAGUCUUGACAAAUGACACUACAAAGUACCAAGUCUACUUUUUUUUUUUUUUUUUUUUUGAGGUAGUCUCACUUUGCUGCCCAGGCUGACCCAGAACUCACUAUGUAACUCAGGCUGGCUUCAAACUCAAGGCAGUCUUCUUGCCUCAGCCUCUUAAGUGUUAGGUUUACAAGCCUGAGGCACAAUGAUGAGGUGCUUUUUACUUUAAUUAAUAUCUCUCUAUAUAUAUGUGUGUUCAUGUGGGUAAGUAUGGACUUUCGCAUGCUAUAGCAUACGUGAGGAGGUCAGACAAGUUCAUCUGUCUGUCCUUGCCGUCUACCUUGGCUUAUCUGAUUUUAGUUUUUGAGACAGGCUCUCACUAUGUAGCCCUGGCCAGCCUGGAACUCACUGUAGAGCAGGCUGGCCUUGUACUCACAGAAACGAGCCUGUUUCUCAAGCACUAGGAUUACAGUAUGAGACCUACCCCGCAGUUCGACCUUGUUCAAGUCAAUCUUGCUGGCAGCUACACAUACUAGCUGGCCUGCAAGAUUCUGGGCAUUCUCCUGCCUCCAGUUCCCAUCUUACUACGGGAAUGGUGGGAUCAUAGAUGCAGGCUACCACGUCUAUCUUCUCAUGGGCUUUGGGACCUGCACCCAGGCCUUCAUGCUUGCAUAGCAAACACCUUAUUCGGAGCCACCUCACUAGCUGUGGCCACUUUUUGAACUUCAGUUUCUACAUUUCUUUCCCAGGCUAUUCUUUCUAUUUCUUUCUUCUCCUACCAUAGUUUUUAACUAUGUCAUGACUCAGUGGGCGCCCUCGGCUAUUCUCCCUUUCAGUAUGUCUCCCUUACAUCCCCGCCUUUGGAUUUGGCAGGCUCCUAGCUCUGCGCGGCUGACUUUCUAAUCUUGACCACUAACCCUUAAUCAUCUCGUGUCAGUUUCAAAUUUUAUUUUUUAUUAAUUUGUUUCUCAAUUUUUUAUCCCCCUUAUUACCUCAAGCUUGAAAACUGUAUAAAACUGAUUUGUACUGAAAAAAAAAGCACUAAAAUUUGUAAAGAUAUUGAAACUGUAAGUUUCAGUGUGUUAGUAAUGAUUUCUAGAAUACAUAUAUAUGUAUGUUGUGUGCAUAUGUGUGUAUGUACAGCAUGUUUCCCAGUCCUUUCUGUACCUUGAAAGGGCUGAGAAGUACAAACACCACAAUAUUAAUGAGCACAAGCAUGUAGAGAACCUGGUAGCUAAUACUAUUUCUACUUAAAGAGAACUGGAGAUUUUUAGAGAAAUGGAUGACUUGAGUGCUGAGGCAAAACAAGAACAAGAUAUGUCUAGCAUAUCUUAUCAUGGAAAAAAGUAAAACAAUACUAAAACAUGAUAAGGGUAUUAUUACACAAAACAUACCAGCUACAAAAGGGAUAAUAUGAAUAUUAAAAAUAACUCAAUAUAUUACUGACCACUGAAAAGAAUAGAUAUCUAUGAGUCUAAACUGGUAAAAGAUGAUGGAUGGAUGGA